CAAUAGCGUAUAUUAAAGUUGUUGCAGUUAAAAAGCUCGUAGUUGGAUUUCUGGUGGGAGCGAUCGGUCUGGCGCUUAGCGCGAGUACUUGCAUCGUCUCCGGCCAUCCUUGGGGAGAGUCUGUCUGGCAUUAGGUUGUCGGGCAGAGGAUCCUCAUCGUUUACUGUGAAAAAAUUAGAGUGUUCAAAGCAGGCUUAUGCCGUUGAAUAUAUUAGCAUGGAAUAAUAAGAUAGGACUUUGGUACUAUUUUGUUGGUUUGCGCACCAAAGUAAUGAUUAAUGGGGACAGUUGGGGGUAUUCGUAUUCCGUUGUCAGAGGUGAAAUUCUUGGAUUUACGGAAGACGAACUACUGCGAAAGCAUUUACCAAGGAUGUUUUCAUUAA
Molecule: ribosomal RNA, 383 nt
Filed under: uncultured eukaryote
Lineage: Eukaryota
Description: partial 18S ribosomal RNA
Rfam family: Eukaryotic small subunit ribosomal RNA
Source: RNAcentral